Molecule: ribosomal RNA, 267 nt
Filed under: uncultured bacterium
Lineage: Bacteria
Description: partial 16S ribosomal RNA
Rfam family: Bacterial small subunit ribosomal RNA
Source: RNAcentral
UCUGUCUUAGUGGCGGACGGGUGAGUAACGCGUGGGCAACCUGCCCUGUACCGGGGGAUAACACUUAGGAAUAGGUGCUAAUACCGCAUAAUAGGGAAUACCGCAUGGUAAUCCUUUGAAAACUCCGGUGGUACAGGAUGGGCCCGCGUCUGAUUAGCCAGUUGGCGGGGUAACGGCCCACCAAAGCGACGAUCAGCAGCCGGCCUGAGAGGGUGGACGGCCACACUGGGACUGAGACACGGCCCAGACUCCUACGGGAGGCAGCAG